RNAcentral lists this long non-coding RNA (203 nucleotides) under Lathyrus oleraceus (garden pea). Its description in RNAcentral is "Pisum sativum (pea) long non-coding RNA (PSAT_LNC020323)". Lineage: Eukaryota; Viridiplantae; Streptophyta; Magnoliopsida; Fabales; Fabaceae. The record is from RNAcentral.
AUAAAAAGAUCACUCAAUUUGGACACUCCAUGUGGAAGUUAUGUCACUUUGAUUAUGGGUCAUUUUUGAAAUUGAAUGGACCAUAACUUGCCAACCAUACAUAGGAAUUUCAAGUUCUUGGACUUUUUGGAAAGGUGAGAACAAGAUCUACAACUUUCAUGUUGAACAAAUUUUCAUUUGAAGCUUCCUUGGACAUGUAAUUU